UGGGGAAUAUUGGACAAUGGGCGAAAGCCUGAUCCAGCCAUGCCGCGUGUGUGAAGAAGGUCUUCGGAUUGUAAAGCACUUUAAGUUGGGAGGAAGGGCAGUAAGCGAAUACCUUGCUGUUUUGACGUUACCGACAGAAUAAGCACCGGCUAACUCUGUGCCAGCAGCCGCGGUAAUACAGAGGGUGCAAGCGUUAAUCGGAAUUACUGGGCGUAAAGCGCGCGUAGGUGGUUCGUUAAGUUGAAUGUGAAAGCCCCGGGCUCAACCUGGGAACUGCAUCCAAAACUGGCGAGCUAGAGUAGGGCAGAGGGUGGUGGAAUUUCCUUUGUAGCGGUGAAAUGCGUAGAUAUAGGAAGGAACACCAGUGGCGAAGGCGACCACCUGGGCUCAUACUGACACUGAGGUGCGAAAGCGUGGGGAGCAAACAGG
RNAcentral lists this ribosomal RNA (429 nucleotides) under Pseudomonadota bacterium. RNAcentral's name for it is "Proteobacteria bacterium partial 16S ribosomal RNA". It matches the Rfam family "Bacterial small subunit ribosomal RNA", at positions 355 to 776 of the family's 1533-position model. Lineage: Bacteria; Pseudomonadati; Pseudomonadota. The record is from RNAcentral.